UUUAAUUGAAGAGUUUGAUCAUGGCUCAGAUUGAACGCUGGCGGCAGGCCUAACACAUGCAAGUCGAGCGGUAACAGAGAGAAGCUUGCUUCUCUGCUGACGAGCGGCGGACGGGUGAGUAAGACUUGGGAAUUUGCCUUUAGGCGGGGGACAACCACUGGAAACGGUGGCUAAUACCGCAUAAUGUCUACGGACCAAAGUGGGGGACCUUCGGGCCUCACACCUAAAGAUGAGCCCAAGCGGGAUUAGCUAGUUGGUGGGGUAAAGGCUCACCAAGGCGACGAUCCCUAGCUGUUCUGAGAGGAUGAUCAGCCACACUGGGACUGAGACACGGCCCAGACUCCUACGGGAGGCAGCAGUGGGGAAUAUUGCACAAUGGGGGAAACCCUGAUGCAGCCAUGCCGCGUGUGUGAAGAAGGCCUUCGGGUUGUAAAGCACUUUCAGUGGUGAGGAAAGGGU
Molecule: ribosomal RNA, 459 nt
Filed under: Idiomarina zobellii
Lineage: Bacteria; Pseudomonadati; Pseudomonadota; Gammaproteobacteria; Alteromonadales; Idiomarinaceae
Also listed under: 2 other names
Description: bacterial SSU rRNA
Rfam family: Bacterial small subunit ribosomal RNA
Source: RNAcentral